RNAcentral lists this transfer RNA (69 nucleotides) under Rattus norvegicus (Norway rat). It matches the Rfam family "tRNA". From Rfam's summary of the family: Transfer RNA (tRNA) molecules are approximately 80 nucleotides in length. Lineage: Eukaryota; Metazoa; Chordata; Mammalia; Rodentia; Muridae. The record is from Rfam by way of RNAcentral.
GGGGAUUUAGCUCAGCGGUAGAGCGCUUGCCUAGGAAGCGCAAGGCCCUGGGUUCGAACCCCAGCUCCG